UUGUAUAUACAAUAUUUCAUAGCGUGGCUAGAAAACUUGGUCUACGUUGCGAUCUAAUAGAUCUUUGGUUUCGCUGCUGUAUAUCUUGGAAACCAGAAUUCGUCACGAAUAAUUUAGAAAAUUCAAGAUGUUUUUACAUAAAAGACGAGAAUUUCCCGAACUGUCUUGAUGAUUUUCUACCAUUUUACAAGCGUUAUAAAACACAUUGCGUCACAAUAAGAACUGGACAGAUGUUCUACAUGAUAAGAACUUUAGUUGGAAGGUUUAUAAGGGGACAUAAAAUAAUCAAAUUGGGAUUAGUCAAAGUGCAUUGUAAUGUGCUAAUAACACACCCGCACUAACAUAAUCACAUGUUAGUAUAUAAUAUAAACAAUUGUAAAAAUAAAGAACUUUGUGAGGGUCUUGCAGAUAACAAUCAAUUUACAGAUAGUUGAGCCAACAUAAUGAACGGAUGUUUUUGACAUAUACUAUAUACAUAUAUUUUCGACUUUUAUAUUAUAGAUAUAAAUAUUAUGCCCUAUUUUUGUAUGCAAUGUCAAGUGAAAAUCAACGCGAUGAAUGAAAUAUAUUUAUUAUUCUCUCUGCUAUAA
Molecule: non-coding RNA, 590 nt
Organism: Nylanderia fulva
Lineage: Eukaryota; Metazoa; Arthropoda; Insecta; Hymenoptera; Formicidae
Source: RefSeq, a predicted model, not a curated record